RNAcentral lists this ribosomal RNA (447 nucleotides) under uncultured Desulfocapsa sp. RNAcentral's name for it is "bacterial SSU rRNA". It matches the Rfam family "Bacterial small subunit ribosomal RNA", at positions 936 to 1382 of the family's 1533-position model. The record is from RNAcentral. Lineage: Bacteria; Pseudomonadati; Thermodesulfobacteriota; Desulfobulbia; Desulfobulbales; Desulfocapsaceae.
AGCAUGUGGUUUAAUUCGAUGCAACGCGAAGAACCUUACCUGGGCUUGACAUCCCGGGAAUCCCCUGGAAACAGGGGAGUGCCCUUCGGGGAACCCGGUGACAGGUGCUGCAUGGCUGUCGUCAGCUCGUGUCGUGAGAUGUUGGGUUAAGUCCCGCAACGAGCGCAACCCUUGUCUUUAGUUGCCAUCAUUGAGUUGGGCACUCUAAAGAGACUGCCGGUGUCAAACCGGAGGAAGGUGGGGAUGACGUCAAGUCCUCAUGGCCUUUAUGACCAGGGCUACACACGUACUACAAUGGCCGGUACAAAGGGCAGCGACACAGCGAUGUGAAGCCAAUCCCGAAAAGCCGGUCUCAGUCCGGAUUGGAGUCUGCAACUCGACUCCAUGAAGUUGGAAUCGCUAGUAAUCGCGGAUCAGCACGCCGCGGUGAAUACGUUCCCGGGCCUU